RNAcentral lists this ribosomal RNA (480 nucleotides) under uncultured bacterium. Its description in RNAcentral is "partial 16S ribosomal RNA". It matches the Rfam family "Bacterial small subunit ribosomal RNA", at positions 28 to 523 of the family's 1533-position model. The record is from RNAcentral.
GACGAACGCUGGCGGCGUGCCUAACACAUGCAAGUCGAGCGAGUGAAUCUCCUUCGGGAGUGAAGCUAGCGGCGGACGGGUGAGUAACACGUGGGCAACCUGCCUCACAGAGGGGAAUAGCCUUUCGAAAGGAAGAUUAAUACCGCAUAAGAUUGUAGCUUCGCAUGAAGUAGCAAUUAAAGGAGCAAUCCGCUAUGAGAUGGGCCCGCGGCGCAUUAGCUAGUUGGUGAGGUAACGGCUCACCAAGGCGACGAUGCGUAGCCGACCUGAGAGGGUGAUCGGCCAGAUUGGGACUGAGACACGGCCCAGACUCCUACGGGAGGCAGCAGUGGGGAAUAUUGCACAAGGGGGGAAACCCUGAUGCAGCAACGCCGGGUGAGUGAUGACGGCCUUCGGGUUGUAAAGCUCUGUCUUCAGGGACGAUAAUGACGGUACCUGAGGAGGAAGCCACGGCUAACUACGUGCCAGCCGCCGCGGUAA